RNAcentral lists this ribosomal RNA (163 nucleotides) under Escherichia coli. RNAcentral's name for it is "partial 16S ribosomal RNA". It matches the Rfam family "Bacterial small subunit ribosomal RNA", at positions 1 to 157 of the family's 1533-position model. Lineage: Bacteria; Pseudomonadati; Pseudomonadota; Gammaproteobacteria; Enterobacterales; Enterobacteriaceae. The record is from RNAcentral.
AAAUUGAAGAGUUUGAUCAUGGCUCAGAUUGAACGCUGGCGACAGGCCUAACACAUGCAAGUCGAACGGUAACAGGAAACAGCUUGCUGUUUCGCUGACGAGUGGCGGACGGGUGAGUAAUGUCUGGGAAACUGCCUGAUGGAGGGGGAUAACUACUGGAAAC